Molecule: transfer RNA, 68 nt
Filed under: Yoda sp. d ASH-2021
Lineage: Eukaryota; Metazoa; Hemichordata; Enteropneusta; Torquaratoridae
Description: tRNA-Cys
Rfam family: tRNA
About the family: Transfer RNA (tRNA) molecules are approximately 80 nucleotides in length. Their secondary structure includes four short double-helical elements and three loops (D, anti-codon, and T loops).
Source: RNAcentral
AGUUCUGUAGUUUAAUAAAAAUAGUGAAUUGCAAAUUCAUAGAUGUUUCUUAAUUGGAGCUGGAAUUU